UACGAAGGGAGCUAGCGUUGUUCGGAAUCACUGGGCGUAAAGCGCACGUAGGCGGACUUGUUAGUCAGGGGUGAAAUCCCGGGGCUCAACCUCGGAACUGCCUUUGAUACUGCAGGUCUCGAGUCCGAUAGAGGUGGGUGGAAUUCCUAGUGUAGAGGUGAAAUUCGUAGAUAUUAGGAAGAACACCGGUGGCGAAGGCGGCCCACUGGAUCGGUACUGACGCUGAGGUGCGAAAGCGUGGGGAGCAAACAGG
This 253-nucleotide ribosomal RNA is filed under the name uncultured bacterium. Its description in RNAcentral is "partial 16S ribosomal RNA". It matches the Rfam family "Bacterial small subunit ribosomal RNA", at positions 524 to 776 of the family's 1533-position model. The record is from RNAcentral.